GCCUCAGUGGCGGAACUGGUAGACGCGGCAGACUCAAAAUCUGUUGUUGGCAACAACGUGGGGGUUCGAGUCCCUCCUGAGGCACCA
This 87-nucleotide transfer RNA is filed under the name Pseudomonadota bacterium. Its description in RNAcentral is "tRNA-Leu". It matches the Rfam family "tRNA". From Rfam's summary of the family: Transfer RNA (tRNA) molecules are approximately 80 nucleotides in length. Their secondary structure includes four short double-helical elements and three loops (D, anti-codon, and T loops). Lineage: Bacteria; Pseudomonadati; Pseudomonadota. The record is from RNAcentral.